RNAcentral lists this ribosomal RNA (253 nucleotides) under uncultured bacterium. Its description in RNAcentral is "partial 16S ribosomal RNA". It matches the Rfam family "Bacterial small subunit ribosomal RNA", at positions 524 to 776 of the family's 1533-position model. The record is from RNAcentral.
UACGGAGGGGGCUAGCGUUGUUCGGAAUUACUGGGCGUAAAGCGCACGUAGGCGGCUUUGUAAGUUAGAUGUGAAAGCCCGGGGCUCAACUCCGGAAUUGCCUUUAAGACUGCAUCGCUAGAAUUGUGGAGAGGUGAGUGGAAUUCCGAGUGUAGAGGUGAAAUUCGUAGAUAUUCGGAAGAACACCAGUGGCGAAGGCGACUCACUGGACACAUAUUGACGCUGAGGUGCGAAAGCGUGGGGAGCAAACAGG